CGACUACGAGUUUGAUCCUGGCUCAGAUUGAACGCUGGCGGCAUGCUUACACAUGCAAGUCGAACGCGAAAGUCCUUCGGGGCGAGUAGAGUGGCGGACGGGUGAGUAACGCGUGGGAAUCUACCCUAGAGCGGGGGACAACCCGGGGAAACCCGGGCUAAUACCGCAUACGUCCUACGGGAGAAAGAGGGCCUCUGCUUGCACGCUCUCACUCCAGGAUGAGCCCACGUCCGAUUAGCUAGUUGGUAGGGUAAAGGCCUACCAAGGCCACGAUCGGUAGCUGGUCUGAGAGGAUGAUCAGCCACACUGGGACUGAGACACGGCCCAGACUCCUACGGGAGGCAGCAGUGGGGAAUAUUGGACAAUGGGCGCAAGCCUGAUCCAGCAAUGCCGCGUGUGUGAAGAAGGCCUGCGGGUUGUAAAGCACUUUCAGUGGGGAAGAACAGAUUCGGGUCAAUACCCCGGAGCCCUGACGUUACCCACAGAAGAAGCACCGGCUAACUCCGUG
This 508-nucleotide ribosomal RNA is filed under the name uncultured bacterium. Its description in RNAcentral is "bacterial SSU rRNA". It matches the Rfam family "Bacterial small subunit ribosomal RNA", at positions 1 to 507 of the family's 1533-position model. The record is from RNAcentral.